RNAcentral lists this ribosomal RNA (466 nucleotides) under uncultured bacterium. RNAcentral's name for it is "partial 16S ribosomal RNA". It matches the Rfam family "Bacterial small subunit ribosomal RNA", at positions 339 to 795 of the family's 1533-position model. The record is from RNAcentral.
CUACGGGGGGCAGCAGUGAGGAAUUUUGCGCAAUGGGGGGAACCCUGACGCAGCAACGCCGCGUGAGUGAUGAAGGCUUUCGGGUCGUAAAGCUCUGUCAAGUGGGAAGAACCUAUGCAGUGUUAAUAUCACUGUAUACUGACGGUACCACUGAAGGAAGCACCGGCUAACUCCGUGCCAGCAGCCGCGGUGAAUACGGGGGGUGCAAGCGUUAUUCGGAAUCAUUGGGCGUAAAGGGCACGUAGGCGGCUUGGUAAGUCAGAUGUGAAAGCCCGGGGCGUAACCCCGGAAGUGCAUUUGAUACUGUCAGGCUUGAGUAUGGGAGAGGGAAGUGGAAUUCCUGGUGUAGAGGUGAAAUUCGUAGAUAUCAGGAGGAACACCGGUGGCGAAGGCGACUUCCUGGACCAAUACUGACGCUGAGGUGCGAAGGCGUGGGUAGCAAACAGGAUUAGAUACCCUAGUAGUC